GCAGGCCUAACACAUGCAAGUCGGACGAGAAGGUACCUUCGGGUACUGGAGAGUGGCGCACGGGUGAGUAACGCGUGGGGACCUACCUCUUAGUGGGGGAUAACGGUUGGAAACGACCGCUAAUACCGCAUACGCCCUUCGGGGGAAAGAUUUAUCGCUAAGAGAUGGACCCCCGUUGGAUUAGAUAGUUGGUGAGGUAAUGGCUCACCAAGUCGGCGAUCCAUAGCUGGUUUGAGAGGAUGAUCAGCCACACUGGGACUGAGACACGGCCCAGACUCCUACGGGAGGCAGCAGUGGGGAAUAUUGGACAAUGGGGGCAACCCUGAUCCAGCCAUGCCGC
Molecule: ribosomal RNA, 340 nt
Filed under: marine bacterium SIMO-IS128
Lineage: Bacteria; Pseudomonadati; Pseudomonadota; Alphaproteobacteria
Description: bacterial SSU rRNA
Rfam family: Bacterial small subunit ribosomal RNA
Source: RNAcentral